RNAcentral lists this ribosomal RNA (284 nucleotides) under uncultured soil bacterium. RNAcentral describes it as "partial 16S ribosomal RNA". It matches the Rfam family "Bacterial small subunit ribosomal RNA", at positions 26 to 337 of the family's 1533-position model. The record is from RNAcentral.
AGAACGAACGCUGGCGGCAUGCCUAAUACAUGCAAGUCGAACGAACUCUUCGGAGUUAGUGGCGCACGGGUGCGUAACGCGUGGGAAUCUGCCCCUUGGUUCGGAAUAACAGUUGGAAACGACUGCUAAUACCGGAUGAUGACGAAAGUCCAAAGAUUUAUCGCCAAGGGAUGAGCCCGCGUAGGAUUAGCUAGUUGGUGAGGUAAAGGCUCACCAAGGCAACGAUCCUUAGCUGGUCUGAGAGGAUGAUCAGCCACACUGGGACUGAGACCACGGCCCAGACU